Molecule: transfer RNA, 76 nt
Filed under: Acinetobacter soli
Lineage: Bacteria; Pseudomonadati; Pseudomonadota; Gammaproteobacteria; Moraxellales; Moraxellaceae
Description: tRNA-Met
Rfam family: tRNA
About the family: Transfer RNA (tRNA) molecules are approximately 80 nucleotides in length. Their secondary structure includes four short double-helical elements and three loops (D, anti-codon, and T loops).
Source: RNAcentral
GGCUAUGUAGCUCAGUUGGUUAGAGCACCGCACUCAUAAUGCGGGGGUCACAGGUUCAAGUCCCGUCAUAGCCACC